This 2528-nucleotide long non-coding RNA is filed under the name Manihot esculenta (cassava). RNAcentral's name for it is "long non-coding RNA (MESC_LNC004508)". The record is from RNAcentral. Lineage: Eukaryota; Viridiplantae; Streptophyta; Magnoliopsida; Malpighiales; Euphorbiaceae.
GGGGGGUGGUGGUGGUGGUGGUUUGGGGCGCGGUUGGUGGAGGGGUGGUGGUUGGUCUACAGGAGGAGACAUUUUCUCCCACAGUAGCAUUAUCUAGAUUGUUUCCUUUUACAACUUCCUAAUUUGUUUAUAUUGACUUGAAAUUAACACAGACGUUUAUUACUUCUCCAAAUUUUUCAUUGAGGAUAAUACAUUGCAUGCAUUUUUACCAUUAGAGGUUUGCCUUUUAAAUUGCCUCCCUGCAAGUUUGCAAGUGUGCCUAUCUCAUGUUCCAACCAUCCCUUGUCUAAUAGUUCCUGUACAUAAAGCAAGGGACCUACUCCCUUGAAAUUCCAAUAGCAGAGGAGCACAACGUAUUCAAAUAUGUGGCACAUGCAACAAUUAGCGAAGAUAGACAAGUCUUCAAACCCACCCUGAAUUUAGGACAAAUGAGAGAGAGAGAGAGAGAGAGAGAGAGAGAGAGAGAGAGAGAGAGAGAGAGAGGGUGGAUGGGGGUUGCUGCUCAUCAUUUUCCUGUUUUGUCUCAUCCUCUUUUCUGCCAGAUGCUUUUAACUCCUAACGUCGUUCCUUUUUUUCAAUUAUCCUCUUUUUAAUCUUAUUUGUCCAGCUCAUUUGUUUUUGUCCUCCACCAACACUUGGCUGUAACAUCUAAGGACAUUUCCAGGAAAUGAUAUUACUUUAGAAGUCAUCAUUUGGUUUUGAGAAUUCAAAAUAGAACAUAAUGAGCAUAGUUCUUGUAGUCGCACCUUGGGUGCAAGGGGGCACAAUGCCCGGUACCUCAACCCUUGAAAGCGGGUGGCCGUGCGAAGUGCUUGCCUAGGCGCACUUCAACAUUUAGCAGAUAUUUCAGCAAGAUUGUCUCGAUUAUUUAUUAGAGAUCGAUUUGUUCCUGCACACACAUGCACAUAGACAUGCAAAGUUGUAUACAGAGUGAAGUUCUUUCCAUUUGGAAUGAGACAAAUUGUGUACAAAAAUCUUAUUGAUAUAAGUUGGGUUCCUAUUUUAGAUUUCAUAUGACUCGUAUGUUCUAAGUUGACAUUUCUAUUUGCAAAUUUCUAUUUACUAGAUUUCAUAAGUUGACUUUCCUUUUUCCUUUUUUUUGGUCUUAUCCAUUUUCUUUACCAAAUUUAAUUAAACCCCUUCUAUUUUUCCUAUUUUCUUUUCUUUUCUCACAUAUUUUAUCUUUCUUCUGUUUCUGCAUGUCUCCUUGUUCAUAUCUCUUGUAUAGGUCUUUUUGUUCUUUUGGAUGCUUCCGUUGCUUUUUGCUUAUUUAAGGAAAGAAAUAAGAGGUUAUAUUAACAAUAUAUAAUAUAGAUAUAGGUUUUGUGACAGUGGAGAAGGCUUAAGUUACUCAUGAUGACAAGACUUUUCUUCUUCUUUUUUUUAUGAAACUAUUGUUCUUUAGUAGGAACUUUGGAAUAUGUUUUAAGAGUUUUAAAAUCUUUUAUUUUUAGUUUUAACUUAUGUUCAAAACAUUUGAUGCUAGAAUUCUGAAGGAUUUGUGUUAUUAAUAUGAGUUGACUUAUAUAGGAUUGAUUAUGUCACUCAAGUACAUGGUUGUGCCUAGGCUUCAGAACUCUUUUUGAGUUCUUAAUAACUGUGGAACAUACAAAUACUUGUAUUAUAUACUGUGCUUCUUGUUUUGAGAAGGAAACCUGACUUUUGUAUUUCAGUUUUAGAAGACAUUUGAUUCUUUGGUUUUAACUAUAGUGAAAUGUUGAGUGGCAAUCGCAUCAAUCUUUGUUGGCUAAAAAUGAAUAUACUGUACUUUUUCUUGGUAGAAGGAAUAGAUAUCAGGAACAUAAAUAACGUAAAGCAUUUCAUGUUGAGAUCCCCUUCAAAAGUUGAGAUAUCUAACUUACAGAAUGCUCUUUCCAUUGGCAGGAUGAUUUGACAACUACACUCAUCCAGCAAUGUCGUCAAUCUCAAUUGACCGUGCAGAGAAUCAUUGAGACAGCAGGAGAUAAUGAAGCCCUGCUCUUUGAAGCGUUGAAUGUUAAUGAUGAGAUCCAGAGAGUUAUAUCCAAGUAUGAAGAGUUGAAGAAGCCAAUAGUUGUUUCUUCUGAGCCUGAACCUGCUAUGAUUCCCGUUUCUGUUGAGCCUGAUGAUUCACCUGUCGAUGGAAAAGAAGAUGCCUUAAUUAGGAAACCAGCAGGUUCACGGGGCCGAACCAGUGGAGGAAGCAAUGAUGAUGUGAUGGAUGAUCUUGACGAAAUGAUCUUUGGUAAGAAAACUGGAGGCACAUCUGAAGGUGCAGAGGACUCAAAGAAACAACAAGCUUCCAAGGAUGAUCACAUCAGCUUAUGAGCAUUUCAGAAAAUUUCAUAUUUUGGGGAAAGAGGCCUUUGACACCAGGCCAUUUAGGUGUUCAACAGGAAUUAAGUUUGGGUUUAAAAUGGCUGAAACCUUCAUACAAGGGCUGGUAGAUUUUUCUGUCAAUUUCUGUUAGUAGUUUUAGUCUUGGAUUGAUACAAUUGCUUGACAUGGACAUGGUGUAUAUCUAUUGCGAUAUUAUAAUGACAUUGCUU